CAGGAUGUUGGCUUAGAAGCAGCCAUCAUUUAAAGAAAGCGUAAUAGCUCACUGGUCGAGUCGGCCUGCGCGGAAGAUGUAACGGGGCUAAACCAUGCACCGAAGCUGCGGCAGCGACACUUAUGUGUUGUUGGGUAGGGGAGCGUUCUGUAAGCCGUCGAAGGUGUGCUGUGAGGCAUGCUGGAGGUAUCAGAAGUGCGAAUGCUGACAUAAGUAACGAUAAAGCGGGUGAAAAGCCCGCUCGCCGGAAGACCAAGGGUUCCUGUUCAACGUUAAUCGGAGCAGGGUGAGUCGACCCCUAAGGCGAGGCCGAAAGGCGUAGUCGAUGGGAAACAGGUUAAUAUUCCUGUACUCGGUGUUACUGCGAAGGGGGGACGGAGAAGGCUAUAUCAGCCGGGCGACGGUUGUCCCGGUUUAAGCGUGUAGGCGGAGGGUCCAGGUAAAUCCGGACUCUUGUUAACGCUGAGGCGUGAUGACGAGGCACUACGGUGCUGAAGUGAUAAAUGCCCUGCUUCCAGGAAAAGCCUCUAAGCAUCAGGUAACACAGAAUCGUACCCCAAACCGACACAGGUGGUCAGGUAGAGAAUACCAAGGCG
Molecule: ribosomal RNA, 596 nt
Filed under: Pantoea sp. ARC270
Lineage: Bacteria; Pseudomonadati; Pseudomonadota; Gammaproteobacteria; Enterobacterales; Erwiniaceae
Description: bacterial LSU rRNA
Rfam family: Bacterial large subunit ribosomal RNA
Source: RNAcentral